Molecule: long non-coding RNA, 942 nt
Filed under: Panax ginseng (ginseng)
Lineage: Eukaryota; Viridiplantae; Streptophyta; Magnoliopsida; Apiales; Araliaceae
Description: long non-coding RNA (PGIN_LNC015133)
Source: RNAcentral
GAUCAUCAUGAUAAAGCGACAGUCAGAUAAAAAGCAAGGACGCAUCAAAAAGGGAAAUUGACUGAAAUAUAAAGCUUUAUAUAUGUGAAGUGUUUUAAUACAUACAAAUAUUUUCUAUGAUAAAUGAUAAAAUGAUAUAGUCUGUGCAGAAAAUUAAAUAGUCCAUGAGCUACAAGCCCGAAGUCAAGUGGGCCAAGAAAGUCAAAUAGUUGAGGGCCUCGGGAGUCUGGGGUCUAGACCUAAGUUGCUUCCUCUACUUCGGCAAUGCAAUAUAGUAGUACUGACGUUAUACAUACAGUAUCAUCCCGAGUAUCCAAAAUGUGGUUGGCCUGGUCCAUAACUCCAUCGACAAAUGAUCGGUGAACGUCUUUGUCAGCGACAACUGCAUCUCGGGCAACGAUAAUGACAUCCCUCUCAGUAUAUGCAGCAUCUCUACCAUCUAUAGCAGUCAACAUGUGGGAUCUGGCCUGAUCCCGCUCAAAGGUAAGAACACGAACCCGCCGCUCCAACUCAGCCCUCGAUGCGGAUGUAGAAGUAGAAGCUGAGAAGGAGGUAUCCCCGGCCAACAUCUAGGUCAAUCCCAUAAAUAACUCCUCCUCAGAUUGAUCUGCUUGAUAAUCCUCUGGAUCAUCCAUAGGCUCCUCCUUGGAAGAUCCAUCCUCUACCUCGACAGGGUCAUCAGUAACAACCGCCAAUCAGCCUCCAACCACGUCAUAUACUCUGAAGACCGACCAGGAUGACAUCCCUAAACUCGACAGUCUCUUGAUGGGCCCAGAAGUUGAAAACCCUCACUAAUCCGUCCUCAAUGUGACAACCCGGGAAAAAUCAAAUUGUCCAAAAUUUAAGUUUAAAGAAUUAGUUAUUAAUAAAAUAAUUUUUUAUUAAUAAAAUAAUGUUCUAUGUGUUUAUUAAUCGUUCUAGAACCUAGGAUGAUUAUAAAAU